RNAcentral lists this ribosomal RNA (459 nucleotides) under uncultured Syntrophorhabdus sp. RNAcentral's name for it is "bacterial SSU rRNA". It matches the Rfam family "Bacterial small subunit ribosomal RNA", at positions 923 to 1382 of the family's 1533-position model. Lineage: Bacteria; Pseudomonadati; Thermodesulfobacteriota; Syntrophorhabdia; Syntrophorhabdales; Syntrophorhabdaceae. The record is from RNAcentral.
GCACAAGCGGUGGAGCAUGUGGUUAAUUCGACGCAACGCGAAAACCUUACCUGGGCUUGACAUGGAGAGAAUCUCCUGGAAACAGGAGAGUGCCUCGCAAGAGGAGCUCUCACACAGGUGCUGCAUGGCUGUCGUCAGCUCGUGCCGUGAGGUGUUGGGUUAAGUCCCGCAACGAGCGCAACCCCCAUCCCCAGUUGCCAUCAUUAAGUUGGGCACUCUGAGGAAACUGCCCGGGUUAACCGGGAGGAAGGUGGGAUGACGUCAAGUCCUCAUGGCCUUUAUGCCCAGGGCUACACACGUGCUACAAUGGGUGGUACAAAGAGAUGCCAACUCGCGAGAGCGCGCCAAUCUCAGAAAGCCAUCCUCAGUUCGGAUUGGAGUCUGCAACUCGACUCCAUGAAGUUGGAAUCGCUAGUAAUCGCGGAUCAGCACGCCGCGGUGAGUACGUUCCCGGGCCUU